Long non-coding RNA from Corylus avellana, 692 nucleotides. RefSeq lists it as uncharacterized. The record is from RefSeq and is a predicted model, not a curated record. NCBI's taxonomy places the organism in Eukaryota, Viridiplantae, Streptophyta, Magnoliopsida, Fagales, Betulaceae.
ACCAGCCAGAUCAAACUGAAACCAAAUCGAACUCAAUUUAUUAGACAUUUUUGCUGCCGACCAACUGAAAGUGGAAGCCUCCUUUAUCAUAUUCCAUCGCCCAUUUCCAGCUUGGGGUGCAGGGGAGGUAUAUAUAUAUAUAUAUAUAUAUACAUACAAUGACACUGAUAUUAAUUACCAUUGGAGCACUGCUACAUAAGGAUUAUUAAGACAGUGAUAUUUGAAAGGCACAACACUAUCACUAUCUAUCUCUAGCUGUUGUUUGUCUUGCAAAAUGCCCAAGAACUCGACAAAUGAAAGCCAGCCUCCACCUGCAGGAUACCCAACUGGAACUGGGAAUCCCUCCACAGGGAAGAAGUGCUGUGCUCGGGGCAAGAAGAAAGGAGACAGGGGCUUCAUAGAGGGAUGCCUCUUCGCUUUGUGCUGCUGUUGGCUCUGUGAAGAAUGUUACUAAUCGAUCUUAUUGUAAACGAGGAUUUCGAAUAAGCAAAACUGUCAUAUGGUAUCAGUAUACCAUCGUUGAUCUUUCCUUUUUUUCUUUUUUCUCCUUCUCGAGUGUGUUAAUUAUGAGUGAUUUUCUAACUAUUGUUGAUCAUUAGACUACAGCUAUUCUGUGUGCGAGCUUAUAUAUUUAUGAUAUAGCACGUCAGUUGUGACCGAUAUAUAAUAUAUCAUCUUACUUCUGCUAAUUG